ACGAACGCUGGCGGCGUGCCUAAUACAUGCAAGUCGAACGGUCUUUCUAUGGAAGCUUGCUUCCACUGAGAAGAUAGUGGCGAACGGGUGAGUAACACGUGGGUAACCUGCCCAUAAGAGGGGGGAGUAACAUCCGGAAACGGGUGCUAAUACCGCAUAGUUUUCUUGAUCGCAUGAUCGGGAAAGGAAAGACGGCCUUUGUGCUGUCGCUUAUGGAUGGACCCGCGGCGUAUUAGUUAGUUGGUGAGGUAACGGCUCACCAAGACGAUGAUACGUAGCCGACCUGAGAGGGUGAUCGGCCACAUUGGGACUGAGACACGGCCCAAACUCCUACGGGAGGCAGCAGUAGGGAAUCUUCCGCAAUGGACGAAAGUCUGACGGAGCAACGCCGCGUGAGUGAAGAAAAGGUUUUCGGAUCGUAAAACUCUGUUGUCAGAGAAGAACAAGUUGGAGAGUAACUGCUCCAGCCUUGACGGUAUCUGACCAGAAAGCCACGGCUAACUACGUGCCAGCCGCGGC
Molecule: ribosomal RNA, 519 nt
Filed under: uncultured bacterium
Lineage: Bacteria
Description: bacterial SSU rRNA
Rfam family: Bacterial small subunit ribosomal RNA
Source: RNAcentral